AUCAGUGGAUCCGGCGGGGGACUCUCAGGAGGACCCCCGUCGGGUAGACCUCCACCCGUGCCUAUAUACUCUUGUUGCUUUGGCGGGCCGUGGCCUCCACUACGGGCUCUGCUCGUAUGUGCCCGCCAGAGGACCAAAUUCUGAAUAUUAGUGAUGUCUGAGUACUAUUUAAUAGUUA
RNAcentral lists this unclassified non-coding RNA (178 nucleotides) under uncultured Helotiales. Its description in RNAcentral is "sequence contains ITS1". The record is from RNAcentral. Lineage: Eukaryota; Fungi; Ascomycota; Leotiomycetes; Helotiales.